GACGAACGCUGGCGGCGUGCUUAACACAUGCAAGUCGAACGAAGAGCGAUGGAAGCUUGCUUCUCUCAAUCUUAGUGGCGAACGGGUGAGUAACGCGUAAUCAACCUGCCCUUCAAAGGGGGACAACAGUUGGAAACGACUGCUAAUACCGCAUACGAUCUAAUCUCGGCAUCGAGGAUAGAUGAAAGGUGGCCUCUACAUGUAAGCUAUCACUGAAGGAGGGGAUUGCGUCUGAUUAGCUAGUUGGAGGGGUAACGGCCCACCAAGGCGAUGAUCAGUAGCCGGUCUGAGAGGAUGAACGGCCACAUUGGGACUGAGACACGGCCCAGACUCCUACGGGAGGCAGCAGUGGGGAAUCUUCCGCAAUGGACGAAAGUCUGACGGAGCAACGCCGCGUGAGUGAUGACGGCCUUCGGGUUGUAAAGCUCUGUUAAUCGGGACGAAAGGCCUUCUUGCGAACAGUUAGAAGGAUUGACGGUACCGGAAUAGAAAGCCACGGCUAACUACGUG
Molecule: ribosomal RNA, 510 nt
Filed under: uncultured bacterium
Lineage: Bacteria
Description: partial 16S ribosomal RNA
Rfam family: Bacterial small subunit ribosomal RNA
Source: RNAcentral